UUUCCAAAAAUAACUAAUCUUAGGCUAUUUAGGAUUGUAAGUAAAUGUGAUAAAUAGAUCCGAAUAACCUGUCAAUUGAUAAAUUGCCAUAAUAUCUUGAUAAUUCUACAUAAAAUAUCUAGAACCAUCGAUAAAUGAGGAAGGCAAUACAAUACGUUUACCAACUAAUAAAGCUCUAGUAUCACCUCUAAGAAUAGCAUCUUUCAAGUCAUAGUAUAAUUCUGAUCGUAGUUGAGAUUGGUUCUUUCUAAACCCAACAAAGAUGGCUCUCUUCAACACAAAUAUAGCAAUCAACAAUAUAUUGCUGAAAUAAUCUACCUCUCCGUAAUAAUGUAUGACCUUCAG
This 345-nucleotide long non-coding RNA is filed under the name Elaeis guineensis (African oil palm). Its description in RNAcentral is "long non-coding RNA (EGUI_LNC019636)". Lineage: Eukaryota; Viridiplantae; Streptophyta; Magnoliopsida; Arecales; Arecaceae. The record is from RNAcentral.